CGUCUGGGAGACCACAGAACAUGCUGGCCCCUCGGCAGACACUGGGGUCUUCAGCUGGAGAGAACUUGCAGGGAUGCCGGGCACAGUCGGGUCUCUGAGGUCCAUCAUCAGGCAGAGCAGCCAGACGGAGAAGUCAGAGUGAGGUCACCAUCGGAGCAGGGCUCUGGUGCCUAGAUGGUCACCUGGCCGUUAGGACAGCCAGCGGCAGGUGAGGUGGCGGGGCGCGGGCUCUGGAUUUCCACCUCCUGACUGGGAACCCCAGCCCUGCCCAUCACUAGCGGUGUGACUGCAGGUGAAUGGCUUCUCCUCUCCAAAUGCCCUGCCUCUCUUUCUGUCAAGUGGGGUGAGGGUUCCCAACCAGUACAUUAACAUAGGAAAGGCAUGGGGAAGGGUUCCUGGUCCAAGGAAUCCCACAAUAGGCAGCGACUACGGGGUUUUGGCAGGAACACUGAAAUACUAGGUUUCUCAGGGAGGGACGUUAAAACAGGGGCUGGCUGGAAGGAUUAGAAGAGCUGAGAAACCCAGUGGGGGAUGAGGCUGCAACCCAGAGAGCAGCAACAGUAGGAAGCUGGUGGCAUCCCCAAGCCUGGAGGCCCGACAGGAGGAGGUGACUUAUCAGAGGGGAGACACAAGGAGAAGGGCAACUCCACAGCACAGCGGGGAUGGGUUGUGUGGGCCACAGAGGUAAAGAAGGAGUCUGAGGAGGGGUUGGGGGGGAGACAGAGAAGGAAAGGGUGGGUGGGAGAGCCACAGAGUCGGCACAAAUUCAAUCAUAUCCUGCUUCCUAGUGGUGCCAUCUUCGUUGAUCUGCUCUACCUCUCAGAGCUUCCAUUUUUCACCUAUAAAACAGAAAUAAGAAUGACAUGUACUAGCAGCAAACGCUUAUCCAACUUUUGGUUUUCACACAGCCCUGCGAAGCAGGGACUACUCUCACUUUUACACCCAUUUUACAGAUGAGAAACGGAGGCACAGAGAUCCAGUCACACCACCGGCAUGUGGCAGAGCACAUCUGACCCAGCCUGUUGGGCCCCCAAUUCCUGUUCAUUACCACUACACUCCGCUCCCCAAUCUGCCAUCCGUGGCUCCCCCCCAAACCGGCCUCACCCCUCCAGGGCCUCUCUUCUUCAGAGAAUUUUACCCAGCCCCUCCAACCCAGAUUCAUCUUCAGCAUCUGCUCCCAACAGUAGGACCUGCCAGCAGACUUCCCACUUGUGUCCCAGGCCCGGGGUCCCCGGAGUCACACUGAACUUUGGGAUCAUCUCUGGGCUCAGGCCAAAGCCUUGAAUUUUCAAACCAGCCCCAAGGGGGAUGAAGGCUCCUCCCUGACAGGUAGGUCACCCAGGGCCCCACCUGUCAAGGAACAAAGAAGCCAGGACAGACUCCUUUGAGUGAGUAGAGCGGUGUCGUCCUCCCUUCCAACCAGUGCCCCUGAGACUUCUGUUGGGGACUGCUCACAGAGGUCCCCUGGCCAUGACCCCCUCCCUUCUCCCUUUCCAGAACUCCAGGUCAAGGUCACUCCAGACAGCCCCCUGUCUCUAGGCCACAGCAGGGCCUGGUUAGAUGGGAGGUCCAGCAGGUCCCUCGGGCCCUUUCUGGAUGUACCCCAUCCCAGGUUCCUGGCUUCCCCUAUUACUUUAAAGCUUCCUGCCCCUUACCCAGGGGCCAAGGUAAGUCCUAAGAUGUCUGGGCUCUUGAUUUCCUCAUAUUAUAUGUGUUCUUUAGGGGUCUUACACAAGUGCCUACAAUGGUAGGAGGAGGCUGAUAACUCCUCCCAUCCAACCUCACCCUCCAUGGUACCGGGGGGGACACAUUGUGGCUCAGAAUGCAGACUCGGUGGAAGUAUGCAGAGUCCUCGGCAGGUUUGCGGGGAGCGAUGGGGUGAAGCGUGUGAUGAGCUGGACCAAGUCCCCAGGGACCCGAGUCCUAUAGCAGCACCCACGCGAGCAUCCAUGCUUCGCGUGCAGUCACCCGCACCAGAGGCCACACGUGUCCCUAAACCACCGCACCGCCACGGAGACCGCAGGCUCAACAACUGGAUGCUACCUCAGGCACGACCACAGCCACACCUUUGUAUCCACAAUGGACAGACAAAAGCACCCCCCCAAUGUUCACACAUACAGGGAUCUCACAUGCACACUCAUCAGGACACACUCAGAGCCACACAACCCACACGUGGCCCCAUGGAAUCGCCCCCGUGGACAUCAUCUCACAUAUACGCCAUCCGCACCAUGUCCCACAACGGGCAUGCAGGCGAAGGACUCAUGCACACACCCAGCAGCUCACCCAGGCGCCCUCGAAUCCCUGGACUUACUUCCCAGGCAGACUGGUGCAUUUGCUCCCAUGCACCUCCACGGGCUCAGAGCAGCAGCCAGGCAGCCCUCUAGGAUUACUCCCCGAUGACCGUGACCAUGGGGAUGACUAUGCCCCAGGCACAGCCUCCCACCCACCUCACUCAUGCUGCUGUCCACACACACACACACACACACACACACGCACGCACACACAGGCGCACACGCCUUCACACGGAGCCUCCCCUUGGCCGGCCUCCUCCACCGGCUCGCACGGUGUGUUCUGAUCCCUCUUGGUGAGACCCUUCUCACAGAACCCAGAGCCACCUGGCCACCUUUGGGACUAAGAAAGUACCCUGUCCACUCCCCAGCCUUGUCCCCUAAGCUGGAGGGCCUGGGCCCUGGGGGAGGGGAGAGGGCUGCCCAGAGCUCAAAGUCCAGGGGCCACCAAAGUCUUAUUUGGAGGCCCGGGGGCGGAAGUUGCACAACCCGUCCCAGGUGGUCAGGGUGACUCCCGCGUAUUGUCUGCUUUUCCCCUUGGCCACAGGCCCAGGCCCAACCAGCCAGCCAACCUGUUCCUCUGGCAGAGGAAGGGACCUUGGCUCCUCUCUCCCUGGCCUUGGGGACUGGUGGCCAAAGAGGACCCCCCGGUCCCCAGCCGUGUGUGUUACCGCCUAAGGCAGAAGUGCCCAGAACCUAGUUGGAAGCCAACCUCUCCUUUCCCCAUGGCUCUGCUCAUCGAGAAGAUCUGUGAACAGCAACACACCAGUAGCAACAAGCACAUCUAGCACCGAGAUCUUACUUUCAAGAUAUCGCCCUCCCCCCAGACAGAUAUCAAGCUCUAUGGAGGAAAAGAAGGUUCCCAGAAGGGGCCAGAGAGAGCAUGAGACGAGCCUGGGGUCACCCAGGGAAGGAGUGCCCAGAGAACGAAGGGACACAAGAUCCGGCAGGGGCUUCUUCUGGCCAAACCUGGGGUAAUUCAAAUAUCAAAAUAAAUGAGCCAUCAGAGAAAAUAGGAAUCCGUGGGUCCACAGGGCUGUGAACAAACAAAUGAAUAAAUGAGCAGAAGAGAAUGCUUUUCCCUACUUCCCUGCGAAGUAAUAAGGGAAGAAGAAAAUCACCUCUUGGCAACUGGGAUGAUGAGGAUGAUUUCAGGUAGGCGACAUUGAGGGAUGCUUAAACUAAGGCUAUAAGUGAUACAGGGAGUGGAGUUUUCACGUAGUGUUGGGAGUAUCUCCCCCUAGAAACUCUGUUUGGACGAUAGUAACACAAGACCUUGACGAUGGAGAAACGGGUCAAACGGUGAGUUGUUCGAAGUUAACACCACCCGUGAGGACGAGCGGACAUUUAGCGGCACCGGAGAGGGGCAGGGAGAGAACACAGCGUCUCUCCUGUGAUGUCCUCGCCGCCAACAUGCACGGUCCUGGCAUAAUUACCAGGAAACACGGAUAAACCCAAAUCGAGCACCAUCCUGCCAAGUGACUGCCCCGUUCUCUUUAAAACAUCAAGAGUAAAAAAAACAUGAAAAAAUAAUAAUAAAAUAAAACAUCAAGAGUGUGAAGUUCAAGGCAGGACGGAGUAACUGGAGAGGAAGGACGCGGAAUGCUGGGCUGGGCCACUUUCCACCGGUGACACUGUGGCAGCAACAGGUGAAACGUGAAUGGGGUGCCUGGUUGUGGGGCGAAUGGAGUUCUUCACACCGUUCCUGCAUGUUUCUGCAAUUCGAAGUAUCUUAAAAUUGUUUUUUAAUCCCAUGCAGCAUAACUUUGUGAAAGUGUUGAAGGAGACUGCUGUUGUGUAUUUCUAAGAAAAAGAGGAAGCUGAGGGUUGUCUGAUGACCUCAUCUCUUGGCAUAGAGCUUGGGGUUAAUCAGGUGACACCAAAUAUAAGUGAACAACAACAACAAAAAAAGAUGAAUAAUCCCAGGA
Long non-coding RNA from Lutra lutra (Eurasian river otter), 4216 nucleotides. RefSeq lists it as uncharacterized. NCBI's taxonomy places the organism in Eukaryota, Metazoa, Chordata, Mammalia, Carnivora, Mustelidae. The record is from RefSeq and is a predicted model, not a curated record. The transcript has 3 exons.